GCGGGCGUGGCGAAACUGGUAGACGCGACGGACUUAAAAUCCGUUUCUUCACAGAGUGCCGGUUCGAGCCCGGCCGCCCGCACCA
Molecule: transfer RNA, 85 nt
Filed under: Ancylobacter radicis
Lineage: Bacteria; Pseudomonadati; Pseudomonadota; Alphaproteobacteria; Hyphomicrobiales; Xanthobacteraceae
Description: tRNA-Leu
Rfam family: tRNA
About the family: Transfer RNA (tRNA) molecules are approximately 80 nucleotides in length.
Source: RNAcentral